RNAcentral lists this transfer RNA (77 nucleotides) under Candidatus Omnitrophota bacterium. RNAcentral's name for it is "tRNA-Lys". It matches the Rfam family "tRNA". Rfam says of the family: Transfer RNA (tRNA) molecules are approximately 80 nucleotides in length. Their secondary structure includes four short double-helical elements and three loops (D, anti-codon, and T loops). The record is from RNAcentral. Lineage: Bacteria; Pseudomonadati; Candidatus Omnitrophota.
GCCCCCAUAGCUCAGUUUGGUAGAGCAGAUCCCUCUUAAGGAUAAGGUCACAGGUUCGAGCCCUGUUGGGGGUACCA